This 455-nucleotide ribosomal RNA is filed under the name uncultured bacterium. RNAcentral describes it as "bacterial SSU rRNA". It matches the Rfam family "Bacterial small subunit ribosomal RNA", at positions 349 to 793 of the family's 1533-position model. The record is from RNAcentral.
CAGCAGUGGGGGAAUAUUGCACAAUGGGCGCAAGCCUGAUGCAGCCAUGCCGCGUGUAUGAAGAAGGCCUUCGGGUUGUAAAGUACUUUCAGCAGUGAGGAAGGCAGGUACGUUAAUAGCGUGCUUGUUUGACGUUAGCUGCAGAAGAAGCACCGGCUAACUCCGUGCCAGCAGCCGCGGUAAUACGGAGGGUGCGAGCGUUAAUCGGAAUUACUGGGCGUAAAGCGCAUGCAGGUGGUUCGUUAAGUCAGAUGUGAAAGACCCGGGGCUCAACCUCGGAAUUGCAUUUGAAACUGGCGGACUAGAGUACUGUAGAGGGGGGUAGGAAUUUCAGGUGUAGCGGUGAAAUGCGUAGAGAUCUGAAGGAAUACCGGUGGCGAAGGCGGCCCCCUGGACAGAUACUGACACUCAGAUGCGAAAGCGUGGGGAGCAAACAGGAUUAGAUACCCUGGUAG